AUAAACUCUAAUCUUGUAGGGUCUGUGGUGAGUAAGGAGUAAACUACUUGCGGUACAUGAUUUUCCUCAUAGCCACCAGUACUGAACCUCUGCUUUUCUGGAAGCAACUUAUUGCAUAUUUAUCAUCCUUUUUCGUCUAAUGACAAUUAGAUAUAAAACAUUCAGAAAAUCCUCUUUUAUACAGGAUAUGGUGGUAUACCAUUAACUUCCAAUUCUAACGGUUCUGUUGCUUAAUGGCAUCUGGGCCCGUUUUCCUCAUAGCCACCAGUACUUAACCUUUGAUUUUCUGGAAGCAACUUAUUGCGUAUUUAUCAUCCUUUUUCGUCUAAUGACAAUUCGAUAUAAAACAUUCAGAAAAUCCUCUUUUAUACAGGAUAUGGUGGUAUAUCAUUAACUUCAACUCUAACGGUUCUGUUGCUUAAUGGCAUCUGGGUCCGCGUUUUUACUACAACUUUUAUAAGCAGG
RNAcentral lists this long non-coding RNA (465 nucleotides) under Nicotiana benthamiana. RNAcentral's name for it is "long non-coding RNA (NBEN_LNC003485)". Lineage: Eukaryota; Viridiplantae; Streptophyta; Magnoliopsida; Solanales; Solanaceae. The record is from RNAcentral.